Molecule: long non-coding RNA, 4680 nt
Organism: Passer domesticus (house sparrow)
Lineage: Eukaryota; Metazoa; Chordata; Aves; Passeriformes; Passeridae
Exons: 6
Source: RefSeq, a predicted model, not a curated record
CGCGGGCAGCGGCGGCCGAGGCGGAUUCGUGCGCCCGAGGUUUUCUGCCUCUGGUCUCUCUCGGCCCUCCGGCCCCAGAGCCGCCCCUCGCCUGCGAUCUCGGGAUCCAGGCAUUUCGUACUUCAGGAGGAAUUUGAGUUACUCCGGAGUGAUGUUUGGCUUAGAUGUGAGAUUUUUGUGAAAGGUCACGUUGCAGAAAUAGACUUCAAAAUUGGCAUAUUCCAGCUAAAGAGCAGGGGGACCAGGAGCCAAGCUUAAAGGGACAGUUAGAAAAUUGUGAAUUAAGUGCAAGGAACCCGAAGGGAAAGGAGGCAGGGGAGCAUGAAACCAUUACAUGGAUGUUGGACUGCCUUUUGCUGUCUGCAGAAGAUUGCAUGGAAUAAGCUCCAAAGUGUCACUGGUAGCAUGUGCCACAGAUGCAACAUCAUCAGUAAAAUGCCAGAUUUCCUGAAGGCAGGAAUAAUGUUGCUCCCCUAUAAUUCAGCAUCAUCCCUGUGAAGCACAAGCUAAUUCCAUGUAUCACAAAGCUCUUUGUUUUACUUUUCCAUUACGUUCAGAUGAAACAGUUCACACUGAAAAUUAGAGACAUUAACUGCAUGAACCAAGGAUAGAUUCCAAAAGAAGAUGCAGGAGAUACAAAAACGUCUUUCUUUUUAGGUCAACCAGAAUUUCAUUGUGUAUCAACGCCUGAAAUCCCUUUCUACGUAAACAUAAAAAGGGGAGUAGGAAUAGGAAGAAACUUCUACUCUGGAAGAGUUGUGCCCCUUCAGACAUAGCAGUACCAGUGGUCAUGAGAUUUUCCUUCUUCAGAUCUGAGUUUGUAAAUCUGACACCUCUCGUUUGCCUAUAAAAUACAGCAGUCACAAAGAUGUUUGGCAGCCUAUGCUAACACUAAUAAUAUUCAGCAAUAGUUCAACUAUUAGAUCUUAUUUUUUCUUCCCUUCCCACUUCUCUUUGCCAAGUCCACUUUUUUGGCUGCCCUUUCUUUUGCAGUGUAAGAUCUUUGAGGCAGGAAAUAAGCCUUUCUGCUGUAGUUUAUAGAUGUUAAACACAGAAGGGCUCUGGUCCACCACAAAACCACUAAGAUCAUGAUGCAGAUUAUACAAAUAAGCCCAAGACAGAUUCUAUGUUGGUUAUAAUUAAAUAAAUCUUCCCCAAAUUAUGUAUGGAUCCUUUGAAAAAUAAGAUCAGGCCACAUUGUCUUAUAUUCAUCAAGCAAUAGAAUAUAUCUAUGUUGCUGAAAGAUGAUACUUGCUAGAGGCUUAGACAAGGCAUUCCAUAUUUGUGACAUGAUUUAACUGUGCCUAUCUUUAUUUUGUUUCACCAGGUCUUAAUUUAGACCACUUAAAAGGCUGCUUUACAUAGGCCUCUACUUAUCCAGUCCCUGAAAUCAUCUAGAAGACAGAAGAAUGACCAAAAAGCAAUACAUUAUAAUUGUAUUUUUUAAGAUGAGAAGAGGAUUGAGAAUACUUUGCAUGAAUUGUAGCCCAGACAACUGAUACCUGGGGCAAUAGAAAGAAAUACAAGUUUAAAUGAUGCAGUCAUCAGAAAUGAAAUAGAGUAAUUGCUGUGUAUAGAUUAUUCAAUUAUUAUAAUAACAUUAUAGCCACACAACACCAGUGAUGGAAAAAUUAAAAAUUGAAAAUAAAGUAUCUGCUGACACACAAAAGGGGUGAUCCACUAGAGGGAGACAAACGGAAGAAACUAUUGUAGUUGAAAACAUCAAAGAAAUUAGGUGGAACAAACAGGGAAAGUGUUUAGAGAACUACACAUAGUGAAUUUUUAUUCUUUUUUGCAUGUGUGCGUAAGUAAAUCAGCAUUUUUAUUUCUCUUACUUCUUUGUCAGUAUCACGAAAUGUGUGUUUUGAUGCUCCAAUUUAGUUGUUCUCUUGCACUGGGUGAUUGGGAAUUUGCACAGAAUAGUUUUAUAUUGCACUGUAUAGCUUAUGUUACAUUAUGUGGUUUGUUACCACAUUUCCCCAUCACAUGGUCUUCCCCUCACCUAUCCCGGUACCCCCUGGUGGUCUCUCCCCUGGGUUACCCCUCCCCUUACCACUCCUCACUGGUGUCCCAUUGACUGUGGACCUCUCCCUCUGUCUCCAUCCCGGGGUAUAAAAGCUCCCUGCCACCAGGGAAUGUCCUUUUUUCUCCCAUAAGUUUGUCCACUUGAUGUAUGUCUUGGAAUAAAGGACAAAGUUUCCCACGCGGAGGAGAGCGCUUCUCAUAUUUUACCUUCAUCUAUGAAGUAUCAUGUGGGCAAGGGUCUGUAGCUAGCUGGAGUGGACCCCAACAGCCCAGGAAACACAAUUCUUCAAAUGUGGAAUUUAAUUUUAAUUUCUUGCCAAGUGGUAGCUCAGGCAAAAGGUUGCCAAUAAAAAUAUGACACCUGUAUUUUACCAACCCUAUUACUUGGUUCUGUAAAGAUUUUUCAUUAUUAACAAGUCUGUGGGAAAGAGCCAUCAUUCAUAUUCUUUCUGUUUCUUGAUGGAAGAAAUGAGUAGUGCAAAAUAUCUUUAAUGAUAGCAGUAUUUCAUAUUGCGUUUAUAGCUCCCAGGGUUUGUAAACAAUUGUUUAUCAAUCUUGUAAUUCAACAAGUUGAUCAACAUACAAAGUCCUCCUGAAAAGUAGGUGAAAUAAAGGAUUUUAGUACAAGACUGACCAACACAUAAAGUUGGUCAGUCCCAAUUUAUGUGGUGGAUUGACCUUGGCCAAGUGCCACUACCUACAGAGAUGCUUGUUUAUUCCCUGUUUCAUGUGAGAGGGAGAUAAAUGAGUGGCUGUGUGGGUGUUCAGGUGUUGGCUCAGGUUCACUUACUACAGUCCUCCUGGACCCAGUACAAAAGUCUUCCUCAUCUCAACAAGAUAUUGAUGCUUUUUGUGGUGACAGUGCAUAUCCUGGGCUGCCUAGUGUUGCUCUAACUGGAGCAAAUAGAAACGUCACCAAAGUUUGAGCAGCCAGCAGAAGGUCCACAUUAUACUCAGAAAAAAUAGCAGACAGCCUGAAAGGACAUUUCCUCUUAACCUAAGGCAGGUAUGGUUCAGAUGAAUUUCUUUGAAACAUCUGUUUCCUUCCAGUGGGAACUUUACCUCACUAGCUCAGGUCAAAUGGGUUACUCUGAACACCCAAAGGCAGAUGAGGCAAACCCAACUAACUACUUACAUCUUUGUCUGAUUUGAAUUGCUCUUUUUUGUAUGCAUUUGAAACCUCUUCAGCUGUGACAAUUGACAUGCCCUGUAUUAUAGUUCCCCCUUAUCCUAGAAUUAAAGAUUUUCCCCUACUUUUGCUUUUAUAUUCUCAGUGUUUUUUUCCUGUGUUCUGACACUAUUUGGAAUAAUACAUACCACUUUAUUUGGUAGCAGUUAUUACAGCUGUCUCCUGCUGUACUGGUUAAGCUGUGGGCUGAGACAGCCCAGCAAAAGAAAAAAACCUGAAAAUUCAUCAGUGACCUGAGCUAAAUUUUCUCAUGCUUCUAUGCUUACUUCUCCAGUUUAUAGAUAAUCACCAUAUGUAGCUCAAAGUAUUUGCACUCCUCUCCCUUUAUUGAUGAAAAGGAUAUUUUUUUGUUGAGGAGCAGAAAGAAAACUUUCCUUACUUGUUUGUCAGGACAAAAUACAGAUACUGGGUCACUAAUUAUCACCAAAGGAGUAUCAGGGACAGACAAAGGUGAUACAGAGACUUUAUCAUCAGAAGGUAUGAAAAGGCACUUUAUUAUUAGAAAUUCACAGUUCUUAUAGAAACAAUGACUUGAUUGGCUUUUAGGAAUCUUCUCUCACUUACUGGUCAAGAAGGGACAACUCCUUCUUGUAAACAUCUUUGACAGAGAUUGCCUGUCAGGUGCAGAGAUUGAGAUAAUAAUUAUUUUAAUUCUUUCACUGAGCUUUCUCACAGCUUCUCAGAGUUUCCCAGGAAAAUCCUGGGAGAGCUAUGUCUCUCUCUAUUCAAAGGAUAUGUGAUUACCACACUGCCCCACUUUUAUCCAAAGAAAUCCAAUAAAAAUGUGUCUCAUUGUUUGUAACUUUUAGAGUAUUUAUUUUCAUUGGGGUUUUUUUGCACAACUGGAGGCCCUAAAGUUUUGAAGAAAAAGGACUUUGCUCAGGAGGAGUUCAGUGACACCACUGCAUGGCUAAAUAUGCCCUCCUGUAUUUUAAAUCCAUCCUUCUCUCCUUCCUUCCUUCUCUCUCUACCACUUUUCUCUUCUGUCUGAUCCUCCUUCCUUUCCUUCUUUAUUCCUUCUCUCUUCCCUUUGUCCUCUUACUGCUUCUCUUCCAGGCCUUUUAAUCUGCUAACUGUGUUUUGUUUCCCACAUAACCACACAACUUCUCAACAUUCUAUUUUUCUUUAUACUACCUCUGUUUCUUCUGCUGGACUGCAUUAUCACUGCUACUCAUGCAUUGCACAUUAGAAAUCCCAAAUCUUGUCAGUGAAGUUGGAUUCAAAAUUUUGAUUGAGGGCAGGGCUCCAUCUCAUCUUACUGAAAACAGCAGACUUAACUCUGCCUAAGACAAUCUAACCCUAACCCACAUUUGAGACUCACAUUAGAGCACCGCAGUAGGUUCUGCAACUUUUAACCUGAAAGGCAGGAAGUUACUGGAAAACAAGCUCCUGUUUUGCAGUCCCAGUGGAUAACACCCACUUGGAUGAAGUUGCCAUCUGUUGUUUUCUUGGGUUAUGUCAGAAUA